This 383-nucleotide long non-coding RNA is filed under the name Mytilus galloprovincialis (Mediterranean mussel). The record is from RNAcentral. Lineage: Eukaryota; Metazoa; Mollusca; Bivalvia; Mytilida; Mytilidae.
GUUGUCGUUUGUUUAUGUGUUACAUAUUUGUUUUUCGUUCAUUUUUUUUACACAAAUAAGGCCGUUAGUUUUCUCGUUUGAAUUGUUUUACAUUGUCUUAUCGGGACCUUUUAUAGCUGACUAUGCGGUAUGGGCUUUGUUCAUUGUUGAAGGCCGUAAGGUGACCUAUAGUUGUUAAUGUCUGUGUCAUUUUGGUCUUUUGUGGAUAGUUGUCUCAUUGGCAAUCAUACCACAUCUUCUUGUUUAUAUUGUGUGGAGUGUCGCUGUUUUCUAACAUGUGUGUCUGACUCCUGGUAUCCACGAAUAUGAACGUAUCCAUUUUGAACCUGGUUUGGAACAUCAGUUAAUGUUGUUCUGAUAGAGAUAGAAUUCUGCUGUGUCCG